AGCAGCAUGGCCUAGUGGAAAGAACAUGAUCUUAAGAGUCAGAGGACCUGGGUUCUAAUCCCAGCUCUGCUA
Molecule: transfer RNA, 72 nt
Filed under: Ornithorhynchus anatinus (platypus)
Lineage: Eukaryota; Metazoa; Chordata; Mammalia; Monotremata; Ornithorhynchidae
Rfam family: tRNA
About the family: Transfer RNA (tRNA) molecules are approximately 80 nucleotides in length. Their secondary structure includes four short double-helical elements and three loops (D, anti-codon, and T loops). Further hydrogen bonds mediate the characteristic L-shaped molecular structure. tRNAs have two regions of fundamental functional importance: the anti-codon, which is responsible for specific mRNA codon recognition, and the 3' end, to which the tRNAs corresponding amino acid is attached (by aminoacyl-tRNA synthetases). tRNAs cope with the degeneracy of the genetic code in two manners: having more than one tRNA (with a specific anti-codon) for a particular amino acid; and 'wobble' base-pairing, i.e. permitting non-standard base-pairing at the 3rd anti-codon position.
Source: Rfam by way of RNAcentral